CCUACGGGAGGCAGCAGUAGGGAAUAUUGCUCAAUGGGGGAAACCCUGAAGCAGCAACGCCGCGUGGAGGAUGAAGGUUUUACGAUUGUAAACUCCUUUUGUUAGAGAAGAUAAUUACGGUAUCUCACGAAUAAGCACCGGCUACCUCUGUCCCAGCAGCCGCGGCAAUACGGAGGGUGCAAGCGUUACUCGGAAUCACGGGGCGUAAAGAGUGCGCAGGCGGGCGUGUAUGUCAGAUGUGAAAUCCUGUGGCUUAACUACAGAACUGCAUAUGACACUAUGAGUCUAGAGUGUGGGAGAGGUAGGUGGAAUUCUUGGUGUAGGAGUAAAAUCCGUAGAUAUCAAGAGGAAUACUCAUGGCGAAGGCGACCUACUGGAACAUUACUGACGCUCAUGCACGAAGGCGUGGGGAGCAAACGGGAUUAGAUACCCGUGUAGUC
Molecule: ribosomal RNA, 440 nt
Filed under: uncultured bacterium
Lineage: Bacteria
Description: partial 16S ribosomal RNA
Rfam family: Bacterial small subunit ribosomal RNA
Source: RNAcentral